Molecule: long non-coding RNA, 486 nt
Organism: Phyllostomus hastatus (greater spear-nosed bat)
Lineage: Eukaryota; Metazoa; Chordata; Mammalia; Chiroptera; Phyllostomidae
Exons: 4
Source: RefSeq, a predicted model, not a curated record
CUGCCUAGGGUCUGUUGCCCACCACUCAGCCUUCCAAAAAGACACACAGUAUCAUUCUAAAACAGUCUUUGCACAGCCUUUCGCUUGCUCCUCUCAGCGUCUUUUUGGUAAACAAAACUGGAAACCCGGAUGGGCCAUUAGCAAUGAAGGGCAACAGUGGUUUGGCAUUGUUUCAGCUAAUUGCUGUCCGGAGUGAAAGAUUGCACCAUCUGUGACAGCUGGCCUGAGGAGUCAUCACUGUCUCAGCAAUGCAGAUGUGCAGUGGGGAAGAGGAAGGGCUGUGAAAAGGACUCACUUCUAUUGCUGGCAUACAGAAUACUUCUGAAUUCUUCAGGAGCCUCCUCUCGCAAAUACGGCUUUGGUUGUCCAGGGAACAUCUGCUUAUCCUGUAAUAAUCACGUGCCUUCUCCUUGGAAAAUACUUCUCCCUCUCUCCUUGCCUUGUACGUGUUGAGAGAUCUACGUGGCAACGUAACUGAGGACUCCG